GAUGAACGCUGGCGGCGUGCCUAAUACAUGCAAGUCGAGCGAACGGACGAGAAGCUUGCUUCUCUGAUGUUAGCGGCGGACGGGUGAGUAACACGUGGAUAACCUACCUAUAAGACUGGGAUAACUUCGGGAAACCGGAGCUAAUACCGGAUAAUAUUUUGAACCGCAUGGUUCAAAAGCGAAAGACGGUCUUGCUGUCACUUAUAGAUGGAUCCGCGCUGCAUUAGCUAGUUGGCAAGGUAACGGCUUACCAAGGCAACGAUGCAUAGCCGACCUGAGGGGGUGAUCGGCCACACUGGAACUGAGACACGGUCCAGACUCCUACGGGAGGCAGCAGUAGGGAAUCUUCCGCAAUGGGCGAAAGCCUGACGGAGCAACGCCGCGUGAGUGAUGAAGGUCUUCGGAUCGUAAAACUCUGUUAUUAGGGAAGAGCAUAUGUGUAAGUAACUGUGCACAUCUUGACGGUACCUAAUCAGAAAGCCACGGCUAACUACGUG
Molecule: ribosomal RNA, 497 nt
Filed under: uncultured bacterium
Lineage: Bacteria
Description: partial 16S ribosomal RNA
Rfam family: Bacterial small subunit ribosomal RNA
Source: RNAcentral